GGGGCUGUAGCUCAACUGGCAGAGCAUCGCCUUUGCAAGGCGGGGGUUAGGGGUUCGAGUCCCCUCAGCUCCACC
Molecule: transfer RNA, 75 nt
Filed under: Actinocatenispora thailandica
Lineage: Bacteria; Bacillati; Actinomycetota; Actinomycetes; Micromonosporales; Micromonosporaceae
Description: tRNA-Ala
Rfam family: tRNA
About the family: Transfer RNA (tRNA) molecules are approximately 80 nucleotides in length.
Source: RNAcentral